Molecule: ribosomal RNA, 253 nt
Filed under: uncultured prokaryote
Description: partial 16S ribosomal RNA
Rfam family: Bacterial small subunit ribosomal RNA
Source: RNAcentral
AGACGAACCGUGCGAACGUUGUUCGGAAUCACUGGGCUUAAAGGGCGCGUAGGCGGUUUGCCAAGUCAGGGGUGAAAUCCUGCAGCUCAACUGUAGAAGUGCCUUUGAUACUGGUGAACUCGAGGGAGGUAGGGGUCGCUGGAACUUCUGGUGGAGCGGUGAAAUGCGUUGAUAUCAGAAGGAACGCCGGUGGCGAAAGCGAGCGACUGGAUCUCUUCUGACGCUGAGGCGCGAAAGCUAGGGGAGCAAACGG